RNAcentral lists this ribosomal RNA (490 nucleotides) under uncultured bacterium. Its description in RNAcentral is "partial 16S ribosomal RNA". It matches the Rfam family "Bacterial small subunit ribosomal RNA", at positions 28 to 507 of the family's 1533-position model. The record is from RNAcentral.
GAUGAACGCUAGCGAUAGGCUUAACACAUGCAAGUCGAGGGGCAGCAUGGUCUUAGCUUGCUAAGACUGAUGGCGACCGGCGCACGGGUGCGUAACGCGUAUGCAACUUGCCUCACAGAGGGGGAUAACCCGUCGAAAGACGGACUAAUACCGCGUACACUUGGGAUAGGGCAUCCUGACCCAAGGAAAUGAAAUUCGCUGUGAGAUAGGCAUGCGUCCCAUUAGCUAGUUGGUGAGGUAACGGCUCACCAAGGCGACGAUGGGUAGGGGAACUGAGAGGUUGAACCCCCACACUGGUACUGAGACACGGACCAGACUCCUACGGGAGGCAGCAGUGAGGAAUAUUGGUCAAUGGGCGAGAGCCUGAACCAGCCAAGUCGCGUGAAGGAUGACUGUCUUAUGGAUUGUAAACUUCUUCUAUACGGGAAUAACAAGAGCCACGUGUGGCUCCCUGCAUGUACCGUAUGAAUAAGCAUCGGCUAACUCCGUG